GACGAACGCUGGCGGCGUGCUUAACACAUGCAAGUCGAACGGAAAGGCCCUGCUUUUGUGGGGUGCUCGAGUGGCGAACGGGUGAGUAACACGUGAGUCACCUGCCCUUUACUUUGGGAUAACUUCAGGAAACUGGGGCUAAUACCGGAUAGGAGCUCCUGCUGCAUGGUGGGGGUUGGAAAGUUUCGGCGGUUGGGGAUGGACUCGCGGCUUAUCAGCUUGUUGGUGGGGUAGUGGCUUACCAAGGCUUUGACGGGUAGCCGGCCUGAGAGGGUGACCGGCCACAUUGGGACCGAGAGACGGACCAGACUCCUACGGGAGGCAGCAGUGGGGAAUAUUGCACAAUGGGCGGAAGCCUGAUGCAGCAACGCCGCGUGCGGGAUGACGGCCUUCGGGUUGUAAACCGCUUUCGCCUGUGACGAAGCGUGAGUGACGGUAAUGGGUAAAGAAGCACCGGCUAACUACGUG
RNAcentral lists this ribosomal RNA (468 nucleotides) under uncultured bacterium. RNAcentral describes it as "partial 16S ribosomal RNA". It matches the Rfam family "Bacterial small subunit ribosomal RNA", at positions 28 to 507 of the family's 1533-position model. The record is from RNAcentral.